AGAGUUUGAUCCUGGCUCAGGACGAACGCUGGCGGCAUGCCUAAUACAUGCAAGUCGAGCGGACUUGAAGAGAAGCUUGCUUCUCUGAUGGUUAGCGGCGGACGGGUGAGUAACACGUAGGCAACCUGCCCUCAAGUUUGGGACAACUACCGGAAACGGUAGCUAAUACCGAAUAGUUGUUUUCUUCGCCUGAAGGAAACUGGAAAGACGGAGCAAUCUGUCACUUGGGGAUGGGCCUGCGGCGCAUUAGCUAGUUGGUGGGGUAACGGCUCACCAAGGCGACGAUGCGUAGCCGACCUGAGAGGGUGAUCGGCCACACUGGGACUGAGACACGGCCCAGACUCCUACGGGAGGCAGCAGUAGGGAAUCUUCCGCAAUGGGCGAAAGCCUGACGGAGCAAUGCCGCGUGAGUGAUGAAGGUUUUCGGAUCGUAAAGCUCUGUUGCCAGGGAAGAACGCUUGAGAGAGUAACUGCCCUCAAGGUGACGGUACCUGAGAAAAAGCCCGGCUAACUCGUGCAGCAUCGCGGUAAUCGUAGG
RNAcentral lists this ribosomal RNA (538 nucleotides) under Paenibacillus sp. Y1. Its description in RNAcentral is "bacterial SSU rRNA". It matches the Rfam family "Bacterial small subunit ribosomal RNA", at positions 8 to 531 of the family's 1533-position model. Lineage: Bacteria; Bacillati; Bacillota; Bacilli; Caryophanales; Paenibacillaceae. The record is from RNAcentral.